This 482-nucleotide ribosomal RNA is filed under the name uncultured bacterium. RNAcentral describes it as "partial 16S ribosomal RNA". It matches the Rfam family "Bacterial small subunit ribosomal RNA", at positions 28 to 507 of the family's 1533-position model. The record is from RNAcentral.
GAUGAACGCUAGCGGCAGGCCUAAUACAUGCAAGUCGGACGGGAUUCAGGAGCUUGCUUCUGAUGAGAGUGGCGCACGGGUGCGUAACACGUAUGUAACCUACCUUUAUCAGGGGGAUAGCCUCUCGAAGGAGAGAUUAAGCCCGCAUAAAAUCACAGCACAGCAUUGUGUAAUGAUCAAAUAUUUAUAGGAUAAAGAUGGGCAUGCGGAACAUUAGCUAGAUGGCGGGGUAACGGCCCACCAUGGCGACGAUGUUUAGGGGAUCUGAGAGGAUGGCCCCCCACACUGGUACUGAGACACGGACCAGACUCCUACGGGAGGCAGCAGUAAGGAAUAUUGGUCAAUGGGCGGAAGCCUGAACCAGCCAUGCCGCGUGCAGGAAGACGGCCCUACGGGUUGUAAACUGCUUUUAUACGGGAAUAAACCCAGAUACGUGUAUCUGGCUGAAUGUGCUGUAAGAAUAAGGAUCGGCUAACUCCGUG